UACGUAGGGGGGCAAGCGUUGUCCGGAUUUACUGGGCGUAAAGGGCGCGUAGGUGGCCUGCUAAGCGUGCGGUGAAAGUCGGGGGCUCAACCCCCGAUCGGCCGUGCGAACUGGGAGGCUUGAGCACUGUAGAGGCAGGCGGAAUUCCGGGUGUAGCGGUGGAAUGCGUAGAGAUCCGGAAGAACACCGGUGGCGAAGGCGGCGACCUGGUCCUUUUACUGACGCUGAGGCGCGAAAGCGUGGGGAGCAAACAGG
This 255-nucleotide ribosomal RNA is filed under the name uncultured bacterium. RNAcentral's name for it is "partial 16S ribosomal RNA". It matches the Rfam family "Bacterial small subunit ribosomal RNA", at positions 524 to 776 of the family's 1533-position model. The record is from RNAcentral.